GCCAGUGUGGUGUAGUGGUUUGAGCAUUGGACUAUGGCUCUGGAGAUCAGGGUUCGAAUCCUGGCUCAGCCA
Molecule: transfer RNA, 72 nt
Filed under: Phrynosoma platyrhinos (Desert horned lizard)
Lineage: Eukaryota; Metazoa; Chordata; Lepidosauria; Squamata; Phrynosomatidae
Description: tRNA-OTHER
Source: RNAcentral